RNAcentral lists this ribosomal RNA (207 nucleotides) under uncultured bacterium. RNAcentral describes it as "partial 16S ribosomal RNA". It matches the Rfam family "Bacterial small subunit ribosomal RNA", at positions 568 to 774 of the family's 1533-position model. The record is from RNAcentral.
CACGUAGGCGGGUCGUUAAGUCGGGGUGAAAUCCCAGAGCUCAACUCUGGAACUGCCUUCGAUACUGGCGAUCUUCGAGUCCGGGAGAGGUGAGUGGAACUCCGAGUGUAGAGGUGAAAUUCGUAGAUAUUCGGAAGAACACCAGUGGCGAAGGCGGCUCACUGGCCCGGUACUGACGCUGAGGUGCGAAAGCGUGGGGAGCAAACA